Molecule: unclassified non-coding RNA, 182 nt
Filed under: soil metagenome
Description: partial internal transcribed spacer 1
Source: RNAcentral
CCGAAUUUACAACUCCCAAACCCAAUGUGAACGUUACCAAACUGUUGCCUCGGCGGGGUCACGCCCCGGGUGCGUAAAAGCCCCGGAACCAGGCGCCCGCCGGAGGAACCAACCAAACUCUUUCUGUAGUCCCCUCGCGGACGUAUUUCUUACAGCUCUGAGCAAAAAUUCAAAAUGAAUCA